AUACGGAGGAUGCGAGCGUUAUCCGGAUUUAUUGGGUUUAAAGGGUGCGUAGGCUGUGCGUUAAGUCAGGGGUGAAAUGCCGUCGCUCAGCGACGGAGCUGCCCUUGAUACUGGCGUGCUGGAGUACGGAUGCCGUUGGAGGAAUGAGUGGUGUAGCGGUGAAAUGCUUAGAUAUCACUCAGAACACCGAUUGCGAAGGCAUCUGACGAAUCCGUCACUGACGCUGAGGCGCGAAAGCGUGGGGAUAGAACAGGAUUAGAUACCCUGGUAUUCCACGCCGUAAACGAUGAUGACUAACCGUCGGCGAUAGACAGCCGGUGGCCAAGCGAAAGCGAUAAGUCAUCCACCUGGGGAGUACGUCGGCAACGAUGAAACUCAAAUGAAUUGGCGGGG
This 393-nucleotide ribosomal RNA is filed under the name uncultured bacterium. Its description in RNAcentral is "partial 16S ribosomal RNA". It matches the Rfam family "Bacterial small subunit ribosomal RNA", at positions 523 to 918 of the family's 1533-position model. The record is from RNAcentral.